AUUGAACGCUGGCGGCAUGCCUAACACAUGCAAGUCGAACGGGGUACUUCGGUACCUAGUGGCGGACGGGUGAGUAACGCGUAGGAAUCUGCCUUGCAGAGGGGGACAACCUGGGGAAACUCAGGCUAAUACCGCAUACGCUCGCAAGAGGAAAGCGGGGGAUCUUCGGACCUCGCGCCGCAAGAAGAGCCUACGUCCGAUUAGCUAGUUGGUAGGGUAAAAGCCUACCAAGGCGACGAUCGGUAGCUGGUCUGAGAGGAUGAUCAGCCACACUGGGACUGAGACACGGCCCAGACUCCUACGGGAGGCAGCAGUGGGGAAUAUUGGACAAUGGGCGCAAGCCUGAUCCAGCAAUGCCGCGUGGGUGAAGAAGGCCUGCGGGUUGUAAAGCCCUUUAAGUGGGGAGGAACGGCAGGAUGCAAACAGUGUCCUGCUCUGACGUUACCCACAGAAUAAGCACCGGCUAACUCCGUGCCAGCAGCCGCGGUAAUAC
RNAcentral lists this ribosomal RNA (493 nucleotides) under uncultured bacterium. Its description in RNAcentral is "bacterial SSU rRNA". It matches the Rfam family "Bacterial small subunit ribosomal RNA", at positions 29 to 526 of the family's 1533-position model. The record is from RNAcentral.